RNAcentral lists this transfer RNA (73 nucleotides) under Nicotiana sylvestris (wood tobacco). It matches the Rfam family "tRNA". Rfam says of the family: Transfer RNA (tRNA) molecules are approximately 80 nucleotides in length. The record is from Rfam by way of RNAcentral. Lineage: Eukaryota; Viridiplantae; Streptophyta; Magnoliopsida; Solanales; Solanaceae. RNAcentral also lists the same sequence under 1 other name.
GCGCUUGUAGCUUACUGGUUAGAGCGCCUAUUUCCUAAGUUGAAGGUCAUAGGUUUGACCCUCACCUGGCGCG